Esox lucius (northern pike) is the source of this 3744-nucleotide RNA transcript. It is a transcript of the gene named vegetative cell wall protein gp1-like, with no coding region annotated. NCBI's taxonomy places the organism in Eukaryota, Metazoa, Chordata, Actinopteri, Esociformes, Esocidae. The record is from RefSeq and is a predicted model, not a curated record. The transcript has 10 exons.
CAUUUUGUGGUUGUGUUUGGAAUUUCGGAGUUGAAUCCAAACUGGGAGAUUGCGCUGGCCGGUGUGUUCCGAAGAUCCACGUUGUGGGUCAAGAUUUAUUUUAACCGUCUGACAUAUUUCCAAAUAAAAUUUUAGGGCCCCGUCUAGCAGACAUGGGGGGCAACAGCAGCAGCCAUGUCCCGUUUGCGGACGAAGACAACCACGUUAGUUUUGUGAAGGGCAUUAGGCUAACCGACAAAGUCAUCAAUCGAAUGAGGGAGGAGCGCCAGGCCACCAAGAAGAUUGUCCAUCCCCGCUCACAGCAGAAUGGACCUGCUCCCCAGCUCUCAACAGAAGCUAUUGCCCCCACGAUCACACCUGCCCCGACAGUCGACCAUUUGGUUCCACAUCUGGUAGACCCUCCACAUUCUGCUCAACCCUCAUCUCUACCUCUCCCAGUCCAGCCAGUGAAGCUCACACCUCCUCCUCCUGUCACAUUUGUUGCCGCUCCACCUGCGAAACCUAUGGUCCAAGCUUCAGCUGUUGAUUCUGAAGCUCCGCCUCCCCCUUUGAAACCUAUGGUCCAACCUCCGACUGUCGAAUCAGCUGCUCCACCUUCACCUGCAAAAUAUAUGGCCCAAGCUCCAGGUGUUGAGUCUACACCUCCACCCCCACCCGUGAAACCUAUGACCCAAGCUCCGGCUGUAGAAUCUGCUGCGCCACCACUGCCUGAGGAACCAGUGGUCUUAGCUACUCCACUUGUGUCUCCCGUAGAACCUGAGGUUGCAGCGACACCAUCCACUACUUCUGUUGAAACUAAAGUGCUUCCUCAGGUGGCCAAACCCAUAGCAUUGAGCCCAUCGGCAGAAGCCAAGGUCAUUUCUACCCCUCCACCGCCUUCUGCCGAAACUGUUGUGCCGCCUCCACCUUUUGUUGACGCUACAGUCCUGUCGUCCGUGGAUGAGCCUGUUGUCCUAGCUACGCCUGUCCUUGUUGACAAAGUGUUCAUGCCUACGCCUGUCGAACCUACGGUCCCAACUUCAGUAGUCGCAGCUGCAGUAGUCGAGCCGGAUGUUUUUCCUACACCUCCCCCUGUGGUACCUCCUCUAAAGGUAGCACCUCCGCCUGCUGAUGAUGUCCUGCCCAAACCUCCACCGGUAGAGCCUCUUACUGUAUACAGUGCCCCAAUACCAGUAGCUCCAAACCUCCCUGCCCCAGUCGUAGAACACACCUCAGAGCCUAUUGUGGAGAAUCUUCAGGCCCCAACCUGGCAGUCGAUGGAGCUGGCAACACAUGCUUCAACAUCAAUGGCUAAUGAGCAAGCUGACCUUCCUCCCCCUCCUUGCGCAGAACCCACUGACCCCCCGCCUCCCCCGGGCUCUGAAGAACCCACAGUCACCGUUCCACUGCCCCUGCUCGAUGAGGAUGUUGCUUUUCCAACUGUGGCUCCUGUCACGGCCCCCGCAGUGCCAGCUCCACCUUCCGUGGUGGUGGACGAGGAGGAGCUGAGAAGGCAGAUCCGAGCUGAGUUAACCAAAGACCUAGAAGAGGAGAUGAAACGGAAACGGCAGGAGCUUCAGAAACAGCUGGACGAGGUGAAGGCAGCUGCCAGAGUCCAGGCCCAGGCGGCUGCCCAGCUCCGGGUCCAGGAGGAGGUUCAGAAGAUCCACAGUUUGGAGAAGGCAGCCCAGAGUGAUAUCAUGAAGGCAGCGAUCGCUAAAGAACGCAUGACCAAAGAGGAGGAGACACUUAUGGCUCAGCUCUACGCCCACAAGCUUGAGGAGAAAGAAAAGCAGCUGAAGAAACAAGACCUAAUCUACCGGGAACAAAUUGCCAGGCUGGAGGAGAAGAGCGCCCGGUUCUUCAAAGUCACCACGGAGAACUUUAAGAAGGGCAGAGAGGACGUUCACAACACCUUCAAGCAUGUUGACAUCCGGCCAGUGUGUGGUGAUCUGCAGACUCAUGUCCAGCGGUGUUACAGGGAGAAUAGGGGACAGACCCUGGCCUGCUCCGGCCUCGCCAGCCUCUACAUGCAGUGUGUGGAAGGCCACAAAAAGAAACAGCCUGAAAGUGAAACAGAGACACUCAUAGAAUGAGAAGCACUGAGACUGAAAGUGAAAUACACACAGAGACUAAGAGCACAGGAGGUUAGGAGAGCCAUUCUCCCCACCAAUGACACUUCCUUUUUAACUGAAUGGGCAGGAGCCAUCACCCAUGAUCUACUAAAGCCAUUUCAACUGUUCUGAGCGCAGAGCUAGAUGCCCAUGCUCUGCUUUUGGCCAUCUGUCAUGCUACUCAAACUAGCCAUGCACAGGCUACAGACGCAUAUUAUCUACCCUGGUACUGAUGUCGAAGGCGGUCUACAGUCUGGUCUGAGUUAAGGAAGGAGGCACACUUCUGGAUCUUAGGUUACCAGGGUUAAAUGUAGUGACAGUGCUCAUUAUAACAGGAAGUGAUCAGUGUUGCAAUUGUUACACUAUGAGAGGAAUCCAUAUCUCCUGCUCCAAACACGUAUUUCCAAAUGGGACACAAAACGCAUCAUAUAUUCAUAAAUGGGAAAUAAUGGGAUUGAGUGUUCCAUUGACAGAAAUACAAAAUACAAGGAAUGGCCAAGUACUAAAACAUUAUGCACAUAUGCCUUAAUAUCACAUGAACACAUCUCGCCAGUGCCAAAUAUAAUGGGGUGUUUAUUGUUAUAAAACACUAAUUUAUGGUGGUAGAUGCAAGGGUUGUGCCAAAUGACAUCCUAUUCUCUCCUGGGGGUUCUAGGGUACAUAUUCUCAAUAGGGGUCUAGUUAAAAGUAGUACACUAUGUAGAAAAUAGUACCAUUUGGGACAAUCAUACUAGAAAAAAACUAUUCAAAGGUGGCACUUUUUCCUAUUUUUUUGUUUUAUUUCUCCUUUUAUUUUUUAGGUAUGGGUGUGAAAGGGUGUUUCUGAUUUCAAUAAAUUGUUGUGAAACCCCGGAUUUGAAUUUGUGUGGGUUAGUGAUUAGAAUAUAAAUUGGAUAGAGAACUCUUGCUUGGUUAGCGAUGCCCUCGUGUGGACAUGGUUCCAAUUGAAAAUGUACGCAGUUGGAUACAAGAACGUAACAAAUAAACAUACGCAUAGCCGGGUACUUUAGAAUUGUUAUGGUUUCACGUCAUCACAUAGUCGAGGUGUGUGUGUGAAUAUUGUUCUGGCGCCUGUCUGUUGCACUCUAGUGUGGCAAUCUAGAUUGCGCACCUUUUUCUAAUACUGUAUCCUAGGUAGGACAAUCUGUUGCACGUAGGAUUUCCCGGCCACUUGGGAGGGCCCUUUAAGUUUUCAAAGAGAAGACGCAGGCUGUCACAUGAUGGGCACGAUGACAGAAUAGGUACGGGAAAGCGAAGUGCGCCACGGACCACGAAAACGUCAGUAAUGGUUGAGCUAUCGCACGAACGUCCCAGUUUCGUCCAUUCGAUACCGAACGCCAUAGGUGCGGUGGGUGGACCACGCCGUCUCAACUCGUCUGCUGUAGGCUGAAGGAAGACCAGGCACCUGCACAGCGGCUUUGCUGUCUGCUUUCUUUCAAGAAGCAUUAUGCGGAGUCUUCCCUAUAACCCCUGGGCUUCCUGCUUUGCUGUCAGUGCAACAGUGCACUGCUAGACCCCUGUCAUCUGGGAAACGGUACUCUACCAUGUGUGUAGGAAAAAUUGCCAAAUGUGUUAAUAAAGUACAGGCUGUCAUUAAAAUCCAUGUUCUUAUCCUCCCACUUUGUGAAAUAAACUGUAGCAUUUUAUUGUG